CUCGGUUGGUGCAGCCUCGGAGGGACCCGGCGCUCCCGUGGAAAGCCCGGCCGGCCGGGAGAGGAUCCCCGGGAGGUUGAGCAGCAAGGGGCUUCCGGACUCCCUUAGGCCAUCAAGCAGGACUCGCUCUCUGGUUUUUGCCGCUCUGGGCAGGUGUCUCUAUGGCACCUCCGGGUUUCUCUGCCGUAAAGCCGCGGCGGCGGGGGGGGCGUAAAGCGCGACUGUCGCGGAGAGCGGCGGCCGCGGAGGAGCCGGAAGGAGACGCGCGGCGCCGGUUGGGCGAUAAAAUGGCGGCGGCGCCUGGGCGUCCCGGGGGCAGCACCGGCGACGGGGCGGCGGGAGGAGGAGAAGGAACCGCCGCCGCCAGAGUCUGAUCGCCGGUUUCUCUGCGCCGGUUCCCGGGUAUUGCCGACCCUCCCCCGACGUAAGAGGCGGCAGGACAGGUGGG
Molecule: non-coding RNA, 448 nt
Organism: Pseudonaja textilis
Lineage: Eukaryota; Metazoa; Chordata; Lepidosauria; Squamata; Elapidae
Source: RefSeq, a predicted model, not a curated record